RNAcentral lists this small nuclear RNA (191 nucleotides) under Sinocyclocheilus anshuiensis. RNAcentral's name for it is "U2 spliceosomal RNA (ENSSANG00000048253.1)". It matches the Rfam family "U2 spliceosomal RNA". From Rfam's summary of the family: U2 is a small nuclear RNA (snRNA) component of the spliceosome (involved in pre-mRNA splicing). Lineage: Eukaryota; Metazoa; Chordata; Actinopteri; Cypriniformes; Cyprinidae. The record is from Rfam by way of RNAcentral.
AUUGCUUCUCUGCCUUUUGGCUAAGAUCAAGUGUAGUAUCUGUUCUUAUUAGUUUAAUAUCUGAUACGUCCCCUACUUGGGGACUGCAUAUUAAAUGGAUUUUUGGAUCACGGAGCUGGAGCCGGGGCUUGCUCCAUCCACUCCACGCAUCGGCCUGGUAUUGCAGUGUCUCCAGAAACGGUGUGCUUCCC